RNAcentral lists this non-coding RNA (21 nucleotides) under Caenorhabditis elegans. Lineage: Eukaryota; Metazoa; Nematoda; Chromadorea; Rhabditida; Rhabditidae. The record is from RNAcentral.
UUCAUCAGAAAAAAAUGAAAG